Molecule: long non-coding RNA, 835 nt
Organism: Capsicum annuum
Lineage: Eukaryota; Viridiplantae; Streptophyta; Magnoliopsida; Solanales; Solanaceae
Exons: 3
Source: RefSeq, a predicted model, not a curated record
GGAACGACCAAUAGCAAUACCGUAAAUACACUCAUUUUCAAGGAUAAAACGAUAAGAUUAUUUUUUAAACCAAACCACAAGGUUUCCCUUUCCUUCCAGAUCAUUCCCGUUGUAUCUCUCUCUCUCUCUUCUUCCCCAAGCUCUCCAUUUAUGGAUCCAAACAACAACAAGAGCAUUAAAUUCUCAGCGCGACCAAUUUUGUGUUGAAGAUGAAAAGGGAGUACCCAACUCCAAACUCUGCCGCAGAUCAUUUUCUGGAAGCAAAAUCAUUGUCGGACGAUUUCGUAGGGGACAGCUCAAUUAUUGACCCAAUGGCUCCAAAAACACCACAACCUGAGCAGGAAAAACUGACUGAGUAUUAAGAGGAAAAGUUAGCUAAUUCCGAGUUAAAUGCAUACAAUGAUUUAAGCAAACAACCUCCAGCUGUGCGAUUGAACAAGGAAUUGGGCUUCAUCCUGAAAUUCAAAGUAAAGAGAGAGGAUGAGAUUCGAGAAUUUGGGCUACCAUAUACGAUAGUCAGGCCUUGUGCCUUAACUGAGGAGCCUGCAGGAGCUUAUCUCAUUUUCGAUCAAGGAGACAAUUUCACGGUAUUAGCUCGAAAAUUAGAAAUUUAUUUUCUGAUUUAUAAAGCCUUGUGGGGCCUGUGUAAUUUCAUGGUAUUUGGUCAGAAGUUAGAGAGUUGUUUCUGAUUUAUAGUCUUGUGGAGCCUGUAUCAUUCUUUUUUUUUCCAUAAAGUCUAGCUGAAGAUCACUUUGCACAAUGUUGAUAAUUUCUCAUGAGAACAUUUAUAUCUGAUAUGUACAAGGGAAGAUAUCCCGUGAAGAGGUUGCUCGAA